GAUGAACGCUGGCGGCGUGCCUAAUACAUGCAAGUCGAGCGAACAGACGAGGAGCUUGCUCCUCUGACGUUAGCGGCUGACGUGUGAGUAACACGUGGAUAACCUACCUAUAAGACUGGGAUAACUUCGGGAAACCGGAGCUAAUACCGGAUAAUAUAUUGAACCGCAUGGUUCAAUAGUGAAAGACGGUUUUGCUGUCACUUAUAGAUGUAUCCGCGCCGCAUUAGCUAGUUGGUAAGGUAACGGCUUACCAAGGCAACGAUGCGUAGCCGACCUGAGAGGGUGAUCGGCCACCCUGGAACUGAGACACGGUCCAGACUCCUACGGGAGGCAGCAGUAGGGAAUCUUCCGCAAUGGGCGAAAGCCUGACGGAGCAACGCCGCGUGAGUGAUGAAGGUCUUCGGAUCGUAAAACUCUGUUAUUAGGGAAGAACAAAUGUGUAAGUAACUAUGCACGUCUUGACGGUACCUAAUCAGAAAGCCACGGCUAACUACGUG
This 497-nucleotide ribosomal RNA is filed under the name uncultured bacterium. RNAcentral describes it as "partial 16S ribosomal RNA". It matches the Rfam family "Bacterial small subunit ribosomal RNA", at positions 28 to 507 of the family's 1533-position model. The record is from RNAcentral.